Molecule: ribosomal RNA, 492 nt
Filed under: uncultured bacterium
Lineage: Bacteria
Description: partial 16S ribosomal RNA
Rfam family: Bacterial small subunit ribosomal RNA
Source: RNAcentral
AGUGAACGCUGGCGGUAGGCCUAACACAUGCAAGUCGAACGGCAGCACAGUAAGAGCUUGCUCUUACGGGUGGCGAGUGGCGGACGGGUGAGGAAUACAUCGGAAUCUACUUUUUCGUGGGGGAUAACGUAGGGAAACUUACGCUAAUACCGCAUACGACCUACGGGUGAAAGCAGGGGAUCUUCGGACCUUGCGCGAUUGAAUGAGCCGAUGUCGGAUUAGCUAGUUGGCGGGGUAAAGGCCCACCAAGGCGACGAUCCGUAGCUGGUCUGAGAGGAUGAUCAGCCACACUGGAACUGAGACACGGUCCAGACUCCUACGGGAGGCAGCAGUGGGGAAUAUUGGACAAUGGGCGCAAGCCUGAUCCAGCCAUACCGCGUGGGUGAAGAAGGCCUUCGGGUUGUAAAGCCCUUUUGUUGGGAAAGAAAAGCAGCAGGUUAAUACCCCGCAGUUCUGACGGUACCCAAAGAAUAAGCACCGGCUAACUUCGUG